This 378-nucleotide ribosomal RNA is filed under the name uncultured Desulfobulbus sp. RNAcentral's name for it is "bacterial SSU rRNA". It matches the Rfam family "Bacterial small subunit ribosomal RNA", at positions 1006 to 1382 of the family's 1533-position model. Lineage: Bacteria; Pseudomonadati; Thermodesulfobacteriota; Desulfobulbia; Desulfobulbales; Desulfobulbaceae. The record is from RNAcentral.
AGGACCGCAUCCUUCGGGAAGCGAGCGUACACAGGUGCUGCAUGGCUGUCGUCAGCUCGUGUCGUGAGAUGUUGGGUUAAGUCCCGCAACGAGCGCAACCCUUGCCUUUAGUUGCCAGCAGUUCGGCUGGGCACUCUAAAGGGACUGCCGGUGUUAAACCGGAGGAAGGUGGGGAUGACGUCAAGUCCUCAUGGCCUUUAUGACCAGGGCUACACACGUACUACAAUGGCCGAUACAAAGGGCAGCGACACUGCGAGGUGAAGCCAAUCCCGUAAAAUCGGUCUCAGUCCGGAUUGGAGUCUGCAACUCGACUCCAUGAAGUUGGAAUCGCUAGUAAUCGUGGAUCAGCAUGCCACGGUGAAUACGUUCCCGGGCCUU